AGUGAACGCUGGCGGUAGGCCUAACACAUGCAAGUCGAACGGCAGCACAGUAAGAGCUUGCUCUUACGGGUGGCGAGUGGCGGACGGGUGAGGAAUACAUCGGAAUCUACUUUUUCGUGGGGGAUAACGUAGGGAAACUUACGCUAAUACCGCAUACGACCUACGGGUGAAAGCAGUGGAUCUUCGGACCUUGCGCGAUUGAAUGAGCCGAUGUCGGAUUAGCUAGUUGGCGGGGUAAAUACCCACCAAGGCGACGAUCCGUAGCUGGUCUGAGAGGAUGAUCAGCCACACUGGAACUUGGCCACGGUCCAGACUCCUACGGGAGGCAGCAGUGGGGAAUAUUGGACAAUGGGCGCAAGCCUGAUCCAGCCAUACCGCGUGGGUGAAGAAGGCCUUCGGGUUGUAAAGCCCUUUUGUUGGGAAAGAAAAGCAGCAGGUUAAUACCCCGCUGUUCUGACGGUACCCAAAGAAUAAGCACCGGCUAACUUCGUG
RNAcentral lists this ribosomal RNA (492 nucleotides) under uncultured bacterium. RNAcentral's name for it is "partial 16S ribosomal RNA". It matches the Rfam family "Bacterial small subunit ribosomal RNA", at positions 29 to 507 of the family's 1533-position model. The record is from RNAcentral.